GUCGGGGUGGCUCAGCCUGGUUAGAGCGCCUGACUCAUAAUCAGGAGGUCGCGGGUUCGAAUCCCGCCCCCGACA
RNAcentral lists this transfer RNA (75 nucleotides) under Thermoplasmatales archaeon. RNAcentral describes it as "tRNA-Met". It matches the Rfam family "tRNA". Rfam says of the family: Transfer RNA (tRNA) molecules are approximately 80 nucleotides in length. Lineage: Archaea; Methanobacteriati; Thermoplasmatota; Thermoplasmata; Thermoplasmatales. The record is from RNAcentral.